RNAcentral lists this ribosomal RNA (303 nucleotides) under uncultured bacterium. Its description in RNAcentral is "partial 16S ribosomal RNA". It matches the Rfam family "Bacterial small subunit ribosomal RNA", at positions 510 to 808 of the family's 1533-position model. The record is from RNAcentral.
AGCAUAGCCACGGUAAUACGAAGGGUGCAAGCGUUAAUCGGAAUUACUGGGCGUAAAGCGUGCGUAGGCGGUGAGUUAAGUCUGCUGUGAAAUCCCCGGGCUCAACCUGGGAAUGGCAGUGGAUACUGGCUCGCUAGAGUGUGUCAGAGGAUGGUGGAAUUCCCGGUGUAGCGGUGAAAUGCGUAGAGAUCGGGAGGAACAUCAGUGGCGAAGGCGGCCAUCUGGGACAACACUGACGCUGAGGCACGAAAGCGUGGGGAGCAAACAGGAUUAGAUACCCGCGUAGUCCCUGUCUCUUAUACA